GACGAACGCUGGCGGCGUGCCUAAUACAUGCAAGUAGAACGCUGAAGGAGGAGCUUGCUUCUCUGGAUGAGUUGCGAACGGGUGAGUAACGCGUAGGUAACCUGCCUGGUAGCGGGGGAUAACUAUUGGAAACGAUAGCUAAUACCGCAUAAUAGUAGAUGUCGCAUGACAUUUGCUUAAAAGGUGCAAUUGCAUCACUACCAGAUGGACCUGCGUUGUAUUAGCUAGUUGGUGAGGUAACGGCUCACCAAGGCAACGAUACAUAGCCGACCUGCGAGGGUGAGCGGCCACGCUGGGACUGAGACACGACCCAGACUCCUACGGGAGGCAGCAGUAGGGAAUCUUCGGCAAUGGACGGAAGUCUGACCGAGCAACGCCGCGUGAGUGAAGAAGGUUUUCGGAUCGUAAAGCUCUGUUGUAAGAGAAGAACGAGUGUGAGAGUGGAAAGUUCACACUGUGACGGUAUCUUACCAGAAAGCGACGGCUAACUACGUG
Molecule: ribosomal RNA, 495 nt
Filed under: uncultured bacterium
Lineage: Bacteria
Description: partial 16S ribosomal RNA
Rfam family: Bacterial small subunit ribosomal RNA
Source: RNAcentral